CUACGGGUGGCAGCAGUGAGGAAUAUUGCACAAUGGGGGGAACCCUGAUGCAGCAACGCCGCGUGGAGGAUGACGCAUUUCGGUGUGUAAACUCCUUUUAUAUGUCAAGAAAAUGACGGUAGCAUAUGAAUAAGCACCGGCUAACUCCGUGCCAGCAGCCGCGGUAAUACGGAGGGUGCAAGCGUUACUCGGAAUCACUGGGCGUAAAGGACGCGUAGGCGGGUUGGAAAGUCAGGUGUGAAAUCCUACAGCUUAACUGUAGAACUGCACUUGAAACUUCUAAUCUAGAGUAUGGGAGGGGGAGAUGGAAUUAGUGGUGUAGGGGUAUAAUCCGUAGAUAUCACUAGGAAUACCUAAAGCGAAGGCGAUCUCCUGGAACAUUACUGACGCUAAGGCGUGAAAGCGUGGGGAGCAAACAGGAUUAGAACCCGUGUAGUC
Molecule: ribosomal RNA, 438 nt
Filed under: uncultured bacterium
Lineage: Bacteria
Description: partial 16S ribosomal RNA
Rfam family: Bacterial small subunit ribosomal RNA
Source: RNAcentral